AGCAGUAGCCGCGGGAAAACGUAGGGGGCAAGCGUUAUCCGGAUUUACUGGGUGUAAAGGGAGCGCAGGCGGUGCGGCAAGUCUGAUGUGAAAGCCCGGGGCUCAACCCCGGGACUGCAUUGGAAACUGUCGUACUUGAGUAUCGGAGAGGUAAGUGGAAUUCCUAGUGUAGCGGUGAAAUGCGUAGAUAUUAGGAGGAACACCAGUGGCGAAGGCGGCUUACUGGACGAUAACUGACGCUGAGGCUCGAAAGCGUGGGGAGCAAACAGGAUUAGAUACCCGAGUAGUCCCUGUCUCUUAUAC
Molecule: ribosomal RNA, 303 nt
Filed under: uncultured bacterium
Lineage: Bacteria
Description: partial 16S ribosomal RNA
Rfam family: Bacterial small subunit ribosomal RNA
Source: RNAcentral